AGGGCUGGCAUGGCCAACUCCAAGCUCCAAAGCACUCGGCUCUCGGGACGGUAUCGAAGCAGGCCAACUCGGAUAAGUCAAGAGAAAUUGGUCAAUAGGAUCUCACUAUUCUUCCUUUUCUAAAAGUUUAAAAGCCAAACAUGCACUUGACAGACUGGAAAAAAGGUGUCCUACAAGGAUCUUACAAUAUGAAGUUCAAGACGAUUGUUGGAUUGGAGGAGAGUUGGUUCGGUUCUCGGAAAGGAUCGAAGUCCUCAAGAAUCCUUUGGAGAAUCCCUAAGCGAAGCCAGUAGAAAAUUAAAUAAUAACUGAAAACUCAAAAAACUCUGAACUACAACGAACAUAAUAAAAACAAAAGGCAAAUCAAGUUUUGUGUUUUUUUUGUGGUUUUUUUAAUAAUAUUUUACUCUUUUUUUGUAAUAUUUAUAAUAUUUAUAGAUAUUUUAGCUCUGUAAUGUAGAUACAAUGUACAAUGUAGAUACAUCCUGUGUCGUCACAUCAUCCUCAUGUGUAGAUUAUGUGUAGAUUAAAUGACCUUACGUGUAAAAUGUAGACGACGCAAAAAAAAGCUAUAAACUAAUUUAGGUAAAGAUAAAAUUAAAUUUAAAAAUAAUUAUUGUAAAAAUAGUUUGUAUUUUUUUUUUUGUAAAUUUUUUAUAAUCAAUUUUAUGGUUUUUUUUUCUUUGUCGUUUUGUAAAGAUUUAUUUUAUUUAUAUUUAAAAGUGGUUUCUAUAUAGUUUGCUCGCCAUUCAAAAUGAUUUUUUUUUUUCAAAAAAAAUGAUUACAAAUUGAUGAUUUUUCGAAGGAUUGUGGGGGAUAUAAGUGUGUUUGGGGGAGUGGGGGUGUGGGGGUGUGUCCAGCGCCAUGGUUUUAAUUAUAAACUACUAUCACACAGGCAAACCAAAGUGCUGGAUGGCAAAAGAAGGGGGGAUGAAUGGAUGGUGUUUGAGGGUCAAAGGUUAGAGGUUAAUUAGAGGCGGAAUAGGGGGUGGGCAGUGGGGUGGAUGAGUGCGUGAUUAGGUGGGUGGCGAAGGCGGCUAAAUGAAAUACACAACAAAAAAAUUAAACAAAUAAUCAAAGUAAAUAGUAAAGGGGAAUCAUCGGUGACGAAGUCCCAUCAUCUCCUAUGGAUACAAAAUCAAUUGGAAAUUAUUUUAAGGAUAUUUCAAGGAUGCCAAACAAUUCCAAGCUAAGUCCAUUUCUAUUUCUAUUAAACUUGCAUUAAAAUAUUUAUAGAUAUAUAUAUUUUUUUUGUUUUUAGUUAAAAAUUGGUUAGUAUUGUUUUUGAAGUUUUUGUGGGGUGGAUGGUAUGAGUUUUUUUUUUUGUUUUUUUUUUCUUUUUCAUUUCUUUUUCUUUAGCAUGUAUGUAUGUAUGUAUGGGUGUCUUUGCAAUAAAUAUAACGGUAACUAAAUAUAUGUUGUAGCUCAGUCUCCAGUUGAUUACCGUGUAUAGUUUAUUACAAGUCGAAACAAUAAAAAAAUAUUUGUAUAUUAUAUAUAUAUAUAUAUAUAUAUAUAUAUAUGAAUAAGAUUAAAUAAAGACUAUCAAAUAUAUAAUAAUAUAUAUAUUCAAAAUGCUUCAAAUGUACAAAAACAAACAAAGCUAAGUGGGCCGGGCGGGGGGUGGGUAGGGAAAAAAAAUAAGGAAUUUUUUUUUGAACUAGUUUCGCUUUCUCUCGGUUCUAGGUUCUAGGUUCUAGGUUCUUCUCGAUUAACGGUUCAUUUCAUUUCGGUUCCUUUCCUUUCCCUUUCUCUCCUUUUUCUAUGCGUUGCCUACUUCAUAUUUUCAUAUUUUUUCUCUUAAUUUUUCUCUUAACUUUCGUGAAUUUAGAUACGAUGUUAUAUGGUUGCUAUUGUUGUUAUUUUUGCGUUAUAUGUACAUUUUACAUUACGAAUAGAGGUCGAAUAUCGAAUUUUACAUAGAGAGUUUAGUUUAGUUUAUGUUGGUAGGGUUUAUUACUUAUGUAUGUGUUGGUUUUCAAAACAUCUCGGGGUUUUGCUUCAUUUUUAGUUGUUUUUUAUGUUUGUUUGUUUGUUUUUUUUUUCGUUUUUGUUUUUGUUUGUUUAAAUUUUGUUAAAAAAUUUGCAUGUCCUUAAAGUGUGUGUGUGUGUGUGUUUUUGAGUAAACUUCUCUUACGGCUGACACAAUCGGUUCUCUUUCUUCAUCCAUUUUCGGAUCUUAAUUGCUAAAAAUAUAUAGUAAAUGAUGAAAGUUUUAUUUUGUUUAGUAUUUCAUGUUUUUCUUUUCUCAAAAAGUUCUGGUUCUGGGUUUCUGUUUCUCAGCUUUUUUCGUAGCUUUUGUUUUCUGGUUCGGUUUCAACUCCUAAAGUUGCGAAAUAUUUCACUUUUUGUUUUUUUUUUUUAAUAUUUUCCCUGCGAUCCUCAGUGGGCUCGUGGCUUUGUCUGUCUUUCAGAGUGAGUUGGAUCCUUCGUCGUUGUGUCUGUGUCCUGUUUCUGUUUUUCCUUUUCUUUUGACCUACUGUUUUCUUUAUUCCUGCUCCUGCUGCUCUGGAUUCUGGCGGAUUUUGCGUCCAAAUUUUAUUUUAGAAACUAAAAAAUAAUUAACCCCCAAUUUGUAUUAUUUUCAAUUAACUGUUAUCUUAUCCUUUCUUUUUUAUCCUCGUUUUAGAUUUAAUUUUUAACUUUUUACUUUCGCUUUUCGUUCGUACUGUGUGAGUGGCGGCUUCUCUUUUUUCUUUUUUCUCUUUUUUUUUCUGGGCUAUUUGAUGCUUUGCUCUGCUUCUUCUUCAGCGUUGCUAACGGUUCUUCAGUUGUUCGUCCUUUUUCUGCUCUGCUCUGCUCUAUGUUUCUAUGCUGUUUUCUGGCUGUUGUUGUCAAGCUAACGGUUAAACUCGCUUUAUAUCGUUAUUAUAAUCCCUAGAAAAGAAUGUCUCAUUUAUCAACUGUUGCUCUCUCUUGCUCUUCCUCUCCUCUCAAUCGCUCUCUUCAUGCGCCUAACAAUUGAAAAAUAAUCCUUCAUCUUUUUUAGUUUAAUUUCUUUGUUUUGUUUUUUUUUUUUUAAGUAUAUGCCUUAAGAAAACUCUUCAAUAGGUAAAAUUCUUUUUUCAUAAUAGACACGAAAAAAAUGAAGUAUAUAUGUUUUAAAAUUAUAAUAAUAAACUCUUGAUUUGUACUCAUGUUUGUACCGCUAAAAAACGUUAUCCCUUCCACUCUCGCCUAGUUCCUUUUGUAAAUAUUUAUAUAUAUUUAUAUAUAUAGCUUUAUAUAUAUAUAUAUGUACAUAUAUAAAAAAAUAUGCCUUUUUAAAAAAGUAUUCUUUCCGUUUCUCCUUGUGUUUUUUGUGUUUUUUUUUGUUGUUGUUGCAGUUUUGCUUGUAAAGAAUCUUAUCUUUUUCAUCGACAUCCUCUCUCUCUCUCUCUUUCUCUCUCGCUCUCCGUCUCUUUCAUUUUUCAAACGAGUACAAACUUGUUUGUUUUCCCUUCAAGUUUCAAAAUUAUAAAUAUUCCAUAAAUCAACAUUAAAUUAUACAAUUUUCUUUUUUUGUGAAUUCUGAUAGCAAAGCAAAAUUUUCUUGAUUCUUGUUGUUGUAGUUGUUUUUGUUGUUGUUGUUGUUGUUGUUGUUAUCUUGAUUCUUGUUCGUUCAUGUCAAAGUACUUUUGUGGGUGCUGGUGUCUGGAUGUUUUUUUUUUUUGUGCGUUUGUGUAUAAAAUGUACAUCAAAAGCAUUUUUCCUCAACGUUAAAUAAUAUGUUUUUUUCAUAAAUUUUAAUGUUUUUUUUUUUUCGUUUUCUUUUAGUAAGUAGUUUUUAAAGUUUAAAUAGAUUUAAAAACGAGUUUAUCACACCUUAAACGUUAUCAGUACUUGGCACAACUUACAACACAAAAAAAGUACUUUUCAUUUCUUUUUCUCAUUUUCUCAUUUUCUCUUUUCCCAUUUUUUUUUCGUCUGCCUAGAGGGGUUCUUGGACUUUCGGAAAGGAAAACUUUACAAAAAAAAUGGUAUUUUUAUAUAAUGUUUUAAAUAAAUUUGAAUAAUUAUAUAAUGAAUAAUUUGAAUUUGUUUGAAAAUGUAUUUUUUUUUAGAUUUAAGACUUGAAAUUAGAACUGUUUUGUAAAGCUUCCCUUUUUUUUCCACCUUAUUCAGGCCCAAGUCCCGUUAUCCUCGCAGAACCCUACUCCAUUUUUCGCUUUUCCCUUUCACAUCCUACUUCCUUUCUGUCGUCCUUCCUUCCUAACCGUUGCCUCACUUUCCUACCUGCUUUAAUAACGAUAUAAAAUAGCCUCUAAAUACUAAAAAAUAAUUUCGUUUCUGCUUUCUUCUCCUUUUCGCACUCGCUUCUCGCUUCACUUUCUUCCGUCCUUCGUCUUCCGUUCUUCAACUGAGUUUCCAUUCUACAUCAUUUAUCAUUAUGCUUUAUCCUUAUCUUUGUCUUCGUUUUCAACGCGCACGCUAACUCACAAGUUUUCAGUAUGUUUUCCAUUUUUUUGUUUUUAAUUUAAAUUAUUAUUAUUAAAUAUUAAUAUUUUUAACCCCCCAUCGAAAUAAACCAGAGCUAUAGCUAAAUUAUUAACUCGUCCUCCUCUUUGAUUCAGCAUUUGGAAUAAUAAUUUUCAAUUCUUUGUUCUUUCCUUUCUCAUUUCUCAUUUCUUCUCUCUUCCUUAUUUCCUUAUUUUUUUGUGAAUCUUUUAUAAAAAUUCCGUUCAUUUUUUUUUUUAUAAAUAUCGUUUUUAGUUUUUGUUUUUUUUAAGCAUACAUUUAUAUAUAUCUAUAUAUAUAUGUAUAUGCUUAGGACUUGGUAUUGACAACUUUGGACAUUUUUUGUUGAAAAAAAAAAAAAUAGUUAUAUUAAUUAAUAUGUAUAUAUAGAAGUGGAUAUACAAACAUAUCUCAAAUAAAACAAAAUGUCGAUCUCUCUCUCUCUUUUCAGCAUAUACAUAUGUAUAUCCCAUAUAUAUACAUAUAUAGCGGCUCGAUAUCGUUUAUCGUAUAUCGUAUAUCGUAUAUGUCUAGCAACAUUCUUAUAUACACUUCCCAUUCCCCGACUCGCUCUCUCCUCUCCUGACUCUACACGUCUGUUCCUGUUCCUGCUCUAGCUCCUACUGCUGCAGGUUAUGGUGGUGGUGGUGGGGGGGGGAUGGUCUUAUACUGUUCUGGGUGGGUGGGUGAGUGAGUGAGAUUGGUUGCGAUUAUCGGUUAUCGGUUGUUAUCGGACAUGCCUUCUCUAAUGCAGUUUUGUAAUUCUCCGGUUCUAAUUGGUUGUAUUAUCGAUUUCUUCGCAAUUCUCUUCAGAUUUCUUGUUUGUUUUGGACUUAAAAACUAGUUUACAUUUUUAAGGUGUUUUCUUAAAUCUUUUAUGUUUUUUUUUUGUUUAGCUCACUUUUUAGGAUAUUCAUUCAUUUUUAUGCUCGUUUAAGUUUAAGUUUUAUUUGUUUUUUAGUUUUUUAAAGUUUUUUUUUUUUUUGUAGAAGAUAAUGCACUUACAUUGAGGUAUUUUAAUUACUUUUUCAAUCUUCUUCAAAGUUUUUCUCAUAUUUGUUAUAUCUUUUUUGCUUCUGUUUUCUGGUUGUGUUUCAGAUUUAGUUUAGUUUUUGCUUCUCUUAAAAGGAAAACACGAAAAUUAAAAUGUUAAAAGUGUAAAAAUAAAAAGCAAAUGUGAUUUUUUUUUCAAAAUAUUAGGUGGUGUUGCCCUAAAGCUUGUACAGUUGCUUGCUGCCUUUUCUUCUUCUAUCUUUUCUAUCAUUUUUUUUUUUCAAAUGUUUUCCGUUUUCUUGAAUUUUGUCCAAAAUUUGGUAUUUUUUUUGUUUGUUAUUUUUCAUCCAAAAUAAUGUGCCGCUCAAAAGUUGAUCUUAGUUGUUUUUUUUUUAUCGAAAUAAUGUUGAUUUUGGUUUUUUUUUUGCCGAAAUGUUGAUUUUUCUUCGUUGUUUUCUUCUUCUGGUGUUCUUUCUACUAAAUGCCUGAAAUAUAACAGCUCUCCGAUGCAAGUGUUAUACAAACAAAAGGGUGGGAUUCCCCGGGAUUGUUAUCGAUAAUUGAUAAUUGUGGGUGUUCGAUAUUCUCUGAGAUACUCUAACUAUUUUGUAGUAACAUAUUAAACACUAUGGAAUAGCUCUAGUUACGUUAAACAAAAUACAAAAAAAAUAUAUAAAAUUAGUAAUCAAGUAGCAGUAGUUAAUUAUUAGAUAUAGUAUUAGAUCGGGCUAUUGCUAUUGUUGCUAUAUGUUUUGGCUCGUAGUAUUGUAUAUAGGUUUGUUUGUUUGUUUGAUUGUUUGUUGCUCCGUUUUCAGUUACUUGGGUUGUAUUGAAUAUUGUUCAGUUGUUAUAAACUGUUAUAAACUGUUUUAAACUGUCAUUAACUGUUAUACUGUCAUAAUUCUCUAAGAAAUGCAUUUUUUUGAUUGAUUUGAUUUUAUUUGAGUUGAGGUGUGUAGAGUUGAAAUGCAAAUGAUUCUAGUUGUGUAGUUGCCCCAUCCAUGUAUAACAGCUUGUCUCUCAUACACGCUCAAACGUUAUAACGUAACACUUAACGUAACGUAACGUAACGUAACGAUCAACUCUCUCUCUCAUCCCGUUCCUAUCGCCUCCUUCGUUUAAAAAAAAUUAACAUUUCAGCACCGUCAUUUCAUUUUUUAGUUUAGUUUUUUAGUUAGUUUUUGUUUUUCAUUUCAAGGCAAACACAUUACAAUAGUUUCUUUAACACUAUCCCUCUCUCUCUCUCUCUCUCUCUCGCUCUAUCAUUAGUUAUAAUCAAGUUAUAAU
Molecule: long non-coding RNA, 6717 nt
Organism: Drosophila ananassae
Lineage: Eukaryota; Metazoa; Arthropoda; Insecta; Diptera; Drosophilidae
Exons: 3
Source: RefSeq, a predicted model, not a curated record